RNAcentral lists this ribosomal RNA (497 nucleotides) under uncultured bacterium. Its description in RNAcentral is "partial 16S ribosomal RNA". It matches the Rfam family "Bacterial small subunit ribosomal RNA", at positions 28 to 507 of the family's 1533-position model. The record is from RNAcentral.
GAUGAACGCUGGCGGCGUGCCUAAUACAUGCAAGUCGAGCGAACAGACGAGGAGCUUGCUCCUCUGACGUUAGCGGCUGACGUGUGUGUAACACGUGGAUAACCUACCUAUAAUACUGGGAUAACUUCGGGAAACCGUUGCUCAUACCGGAUAAUAUAUUUAACCGCAUGGUUCAUUAUUGAAAUACGGUUUUUCUGUCUCUUAUAGAUGUUUCCGCGCCGCAUUAUCUAGUUGGUAAGGUAACGGCUUACCAAGGCGACGAUGCGUAGCCGACCUGAGAGGGUGAUCGGCCACACGGGAACUGAGACACGGACCAGACGACUACGGGAGGCAGCAGUAGGGAAUAUGCCGCAAUGGGCGAAAGCCUGACGGAGCAACGCCGCGUGAGUGAUGAAGGUCUUCGGAUCGUAAAACUCUGUUAUUAGGGAAGAAAAAAUGUGUAAGUAACUAUGCACGUCUUGACGGUAACUAAUCAGAAAGCCACGGCUAACUACGUG